UUAGAACGCUUUAUGAAAAACAAUUGAAAACAUCUCAAAUUUGUUUUAAAAAAUAACUUGAUUCUAGAACAAAUUCUAAAAAAGACCUUUUUUUCUAUCAAAAGUUGGCGAGGUAAUAGUUUACCAAGGUGAUAAUCAGUAGCUGGUCCAAGAGGAUGAUUAGCCACACUAGGACUGAGACACGGCCCAAACUCUUACAAGAGGGAAGAGUGGGGAAUUUUUUGCAAUGGGAGAAAGCCUGAUGGAGCAAUUCUACAUGGAGGUAGAAGGGCCAUGGGUUGUGAACUUUUCCUGGAAAAGAAGCAAUAACGGUAUAUGGGGAAUAAACAUCAGCUAACAUGU
RNAcentral lists this non-coding RNA (342 nucleotides) under Vitis vinifera (wine grape). Its description in RNAcentral is "Bacterial small subunit ribosomal RNA". It matches the Rfam family "Bacterial small subunit ribosomal RNA", at positions 131 to 505 of the family's 1533-position model. Lineage: Eukaryota; Viridiplantae; Streptophyta; Magnoliopsida; Vitales; Vitaceae. The record is from Rfam by way of RNAcentral.